GCUGGACAGACUGCUGCCACGCUGGCUGGCUAGGUCGCUCUCAUGGUUUCUAAACAUUCCAGAAGAUAGAUUUACUAGUAUUUAUAUGAAUGAUUUCUGAAUGUAUGUCACAUAUCGGCCACAAGUUCCAUCAUGGAAAUCAGCAAUUGAGGCACAGUAUAUCAUGUAGGUAUAUCUUGUGUGCAUACCUGGGGUCCAUGUGCAAUAAGAGCUCAGCUCUUUGUGUGCUGUGGAAACACAUGCAGGUCAGUUAAAGGGAUGCACUCCUCCAAACAUGAAUCACAUGACUACCAUUCAUGCUGCUCUCAUGUAAGUACUGUCUAAGUACUUCCCUGUGCACUUACACCACUUCAUAUAGCUUAGAGUAAGAGUGGAUGUGGGGAUUUAGAACUUCUACUCCAUACAAUUUGUAGAUCAAGACUAUUUUCCCCAAUGUCUGUUGUCAUUUACCUUCACCUCUAACUCAUUACUCUGUGAUCUUUUUUCAUUCUUGCUCUUCUAGCAUUAAAAGCCACAAUGUGAAUAAGGACAUGAUUAUGACUGAACCCUUCCUUUCAUUGCUGAAUCCCUUGCCUCCUGAUCCUUAUCCAUCUCUUCAUGCCCCAAUCUUGUCAAGCCCUAAUUUCCAAAACGCAUUCUUUUGUAAAAGUGACUUUAUUUAAUAGUCAAAACGUUGAUGAUACAUUACUAAUAAAACCAAUCAUAUUAAUAGCUUAUGUAUAAGGGAAGCUACAAUCUGGCUAUAAUUUUAAUUUAUAUGCAUGUGUAUGUGAGUAUACACACUAUGUUCAAGUGCCUGCAGAACAUGGAAGAGAAUGUUUCUCUCUAGAGCAGGGGCAAUAGAGACUAUGAGCUGCCUGCAGGCAGUGGAAUAAAUUUGGGUCCUCUUGAAGAGCAGAUAGCACCCCAAACCACUGAGCUGUUUCUUAAAAUUUACUUUAAAUCUCUCUUACUCUCACCCUCACUCUCUCUCUGUGUGUGUGUGUCUCUCUCAGCCUCUCUCGCCCUCAUUCUCUCUCUGUGUGUGAUAUGUCUGUGUGCAUGUAUAAAUUUGGAAAUUUCAUCAAAUUAUUAACCUGAAAGUAUGCAUAUAACCUCAUCUUGAAUUUUAUUUGACUGGAUCUGAAUGUGUUUUUAUCAUGUUCAGUUAAGUUAUAGAUGAAUUUAGUUUCAAGACGUAAAAGUUGUAACCACCAGGGUGUUUGUGGUACUGACAUCUACAGUAUAUCACUGUCGUAUGAAUGAACACUGUAUAUGAUGAGCAGAAUCAACUACAGUCCUAAGAGUGAGAGCAGAGUUGUUAUUAGGUGUCCUAAUUCAAUAAUUUGAGGCUACACAGACCUCCUUUUAUAAUCAUUUCUAAAAUUACACAAUUAUCCUUCUACUAAAGUGAAAUAUUUCAAAUUACAAGCUCCCCUAUGGACAAAAAACAAAGAAAAACUUUGUAAAAUGUUUACAGCCAGAUGGACUAGUAGAGGAUUUCUUUUCCCAGUACAAUCCAAGUCCCAAAUUCCCUUGAAGCUUUCUCAGCAAUAUGUCAUGUGAUGUUUGAGUUAGCUCUUUGAGCCACUUCAUACUUGGAAACAUGUCCACUUAAGGUUUUUAUGCCAGCACAACAGAGGAAUUGUUAUUUCCCAGAAUCCCCAAAAGAAUAAGAUAUUGAAGUGUCUGCUGUCAUUGCUCUUUUCUGUUUGUAAGUGAAAGAUGAUUCAGGUGUCGUGAUGAGGGGCCCUGUUAAAAAUUUACAGUCAGAUCACUGCGUAGUCUUUUACUCUCAACAGAUAUGGGAACCAUUGGCAAGUGAGCCAAGAGUUUCUGAGUUUGAUUCCAGAGCUGUCAGUAAUUUUCUUUGCUAUAAUGAUCUUGUCAUCUGAGUCUUGCUUACUUCACCCUUCUUAUUGGAACUAACACAGUAAGAUGGUACUGCUCACUAACUCUAUAGUAGUGGGAUAAAAGCAUUUUAGUCGGAGAAAUGUAUGUUUAAAAUAUCUCAGGAAAUUGCCUAACUUUUUAAUGUAUGCAACAGAAACAUAUCAGAUGAACUCAUCAGUUUUUGAUAUAGGGUCUAUGCAGUUAUUGCAGAAGUUAAGGUAUUUAUUGGCUAAAGCAAGAAUAAAGAUUAUUUUCUUUUGGAGAUUCUUGACAUUGUACACAAAGUAUCAGAAUGAAGCUAGAACAUCACAUGUUUGUUGGGCAAAUCUGGAUAUGUGUAAAAUUGAUCUUUCAUAUAUUAAAUUGCUAUUAUUCUCAGAUGAGUUACUAAAAUUAGAUGCUUUGUGCAUUCAAUGAAAAAUGGAAGCUCUAUUGGUUGAGUCUAUUUAAAUGCAAAGAAAAUAAAUGAUUCUAACAAAGUUAAUACAAGCAGUGAGAAAGACAACAGGACAUACUAUUUCAAGCUACUGGUUGCAUGGGAGUGGGUGGGACUCAAAAUUCAUUAGGUGACAUCACUGUAACUUGGUCAAGAGUGUAUGCUCUUUUAGAAAUGUGUAAUAUCUUCUACAACAACUCUUCUGAAGGAUCUUGAGAAUUCUAGCCAGUUCUCAUGUGGCAUUAACAUAGCUUGGAGUUAAAGUGAAUUCUUUUUCCCCCACACAAAGAAAAUAUCAAACUUCAAGAACAUAAUGUUAAUGUUUAUAUAUCAUCACAUAAAAUACUCAUUGAUCUAAAACAUUUUCUGUAGCUAAAUAA
Molecule: non-coding RNA, 2688 nt
Organism: Cricetulus griseus (Chinese hamster)
Lineage: Eukaryota; Metazoa; Chordata; Mammalia; Rodentia; Cricetidae
Source: RefSeq, a predicted model, not a curated record